RNAcentral lists this transfer RNA (76 nucleotides) under Verrucomicrobiota bacterium. Its description in RNAcentral is "tRNA-Thr". It matches the Rfam family "tRNA". Rfam says of the family: Transfer RNA (tRNA) molecules are approximately 80 nucleotides in length. Their secondary structure includes four short double-helical elements and three loops (D, anti-codon, and T loops). Lineage: Bacteria; Pseudomonadati; Verrucomicrobiota. The record is from RNAcentral.
GCCGACGUAGCUCAGCUGGUAGAGCAGCGGUUUCGUAAACCGCAGGUCACGGGUUCGAAUCCCGUCAUCGGCUCCA